This 62-nucleotide ribosomal RNA is filed under the name uncultured organism. Its description in RNAcentral is "partial 16S ribosomal RNA". The record is from RNAcentral.
AGGACUUGACAUGGGUAGGACCGGUGGAGAGAUUCACUUUUCCCGCAAGGGACCUACUGCAC